AAUUCUAGCAAUACAAUCAGACUAGAAUAGAAAAAUAAACAUCAGCCUAAAUGAUAAACCCUGUAAGGCUUGUCAUUACGACAUUGCCACAUGAUAAAGUUCCUAGCAAAACAGUGAUCCAAUAAAACCUAAUUUCCAAUAUCUCAAAGAGAGAGAAUAAUGAGCCAGAUUCGUUUCACAUAUUGAAAUUUUGCAGGCAGCGCAAUUUUGUUUAGUAAAAAUAGAAUUUGCAGUAAAACAUGUUAUCUUAAUUUUUGUAACAAUUUUUAUUUCAGAUGCCACAACUA
This 287-nucleotide long non-coding RNA is filed under the name Arabidopsis thaliana (thale cress). Its description in RNAcentral is "potential natural antisense gene, locus overlaps with AT4G25720 (AT4G25719)". Lineage: Eukaryota; Viridiplantae; Streptophyta; Magnoliopsida; Brassicales; Brassicaceae. The record is from RNAcentral.